GACGAACGCUGGCGGCGUGCUUAACACAUGCAAGUCGAACGGAAAGGCCCUGCUUUUGUGGGGUGCUCGAGUGGCGAACGUGUGAGUAACACGUGAGUAACCUGCCCUUGACUUUGGGAUAACUUCAGGAAACUGGGGCUAAUACCGGAUAGGAGCUCCUGCUGCAUGGUGGGGGUUGGAAAGUUUCGGCGGUUGGGGAUGGACUCGCGGCUUAUCAGCUUGUUGGUGGGGUAGUGGCUUACCAAGGCUUUGACGGGUAGCCGGCCUGAGAGGGUGACCGGCCACAUUGGGACUGAGGUACGGACCAGACUCCAAAGGGAGGCAGCAGUGGGGAAUAGUGCAAGAUGGGAGGAAGCCUGAUGCAGCAACGCCGCGUGCGGGAUGACGGCCUUCGGGUUGUAAACCGCUUUCGCCUGUGACGAAGCGUGAGUGACGGUAAUGGGUAAAGAAGCACCGGCUAACUACGUG
RNAcentral lists this ribosomal RNA (468 nucleotides) under uncultured bacterium. RNAcentral describes it as "partial 16S ribosomal RNA". It matches the Rfam family "Bacterial small subunit ribosomal RNA", at positions 28 to 507 of the family's 1533-position model. The record is from RNAcentral.